Long non-coding RNA from Hibiscus syriacus, 453 nucleotides. RefSeq lists it as uncharacterized. NCBI's taxonomy places the organism in Eukaryota, Viridiplantae, Streptophyta, Magnoliopsida, Malvales, Malvaceae. The transcript has 2 exons. The record is from RefSeq and is a predicted model, not a curated record.
CCAUUCAAGAAAAUGACUAAAGGGCUUGUUGACACUUGGGUUUAGAGUGGUAGGUUUUCAAGGAUCAACAAGUCAAACUUCAGAUAUAGGUUUCUGAAUACUGAUGCUCAAUUGUUGAUCCUGCUUUUCACAACGGCAAUUUUUGCAUCUUCAAUCAGCUAUCAACUAAGCAAUCUAAUCAUCUUGCCAAGGGUACACAACAAGAGCCAUGUUGUAAAAUCAUUACGAAAGCAUCCGGAAUCGUUCAGCGUAUGGGAUUAUACUGCGAUACCUCGUUUUGGUGGCAACUUCCUCAAGAUGAAAAGGACUAGAGAUGAAGGUAAUAUCUCUACCAACUGCUCAACAAAAGAACCAUGUCAUUGAAAUAUAUUUCGAAAGUAUAUCUGUAAUCGAAAUCAAGAAAACCUUAUAAUUUCGAACAUGGUAUAAAAAUAAUUAAAACAUGACACAAAA